This is a long non-coding RNA of Erinaceus europaeus (western European hedgehog), 439 nucleotides long. RefSeq lists it as uncharacterized. The record is from RefSeq and is a predicted model, not a curated record. NCBI's taxonomy places the organism in Eukaryota, Metazoa, Chordata, Mammalia, Eulipotyphla, Erinaceidae. The transcript has 3 exons.
GAGGCUUCAAAGGCACAGCUGGGUUCGUUCUCCCUCCUCAGAUGGCGGGCGGAGCCGGCUUCUACGCUCAGCGGCCCUCAGUGUGCUCAUGGAGGGUGUCCAGAGCUUCCACUAGCGGCCUGGGCUUCAGCUGCCUGCCUGGCUCUGCAGCUCGGGGUGUGGUCAGUGGGGACACCUGAGCAGGAAUAAUCAGGACUCACUGAGCCCUGGGUGUGCAUGCCUGCUGCCCAGGAUUCCUGCUGUGGAGGACUUGGACCUGGCUGAUGCCUUCUGCCCCACAGAGCUCCACUGGUGAUAGACCAGGGACUUCCAUCCUGAGCCCUGACCCCCCACUGGGACUCCCAACAUCUCUGACAGCAGCUGCACUGGGUUCACCUGGAGCCUUGCACCCCCACCGGGGACUCCCAACACCCUUGACAGCAGCUGCUCUGUCCCCUCC